Molecule: long non-coding RNA, 675 nt
Filed under: Homo sapiens (human)
Lineage: Eukaryota; Metazoa; Chordata; Mammalia; Primates; Hominidae
Description: non-protein coding LINC01445:3
Source: RNAcentral
GACAUUACAAAGGAGCUCUGUGUCAGAAGCUAGGAUUAAAGAACAAAUACAGAACAAAUUAUUCCUCCAGCACCCCUACUGCAAGGAUUUUAAGAACUCUAUCUCAGGAUAAAGACCUGAGGGUCACAAGAUGUACAUUGCUGGCCUCAGCUGGAUUUUCCCAGGGUCAGGUGCCCAUUCCUACCUAAUCAAAGGACACUUCUGCUGACCUGCACCUAGAAUACCCUGUUCUGUGCUGAUGACUCAGAUGUAAGAAUGAUGAAGUGCAUCGGCUGGCAUGCAGAGAACAAUAAGAAAAAGAACUGAGUUGUGGGAAGACAUGAGGAAAGGACAUGAGGCUCUUAAUAACAGCUGCCAAGUACUGCAGUCGGGAAUCUGGAGCAAAGUGAUUCAAUUCUGACCACUGCCUGUGAGUAAAUGGGAUUUUAUUUUUCAAUACUUUUGUUUAAUAGUACCUCCUUCAUUACAUGUGAACAGCACUCCAGGACAGUAAAUCAUGAAAUGGGAAUAAAGCCUGUAAUUUUAAUUAACAUAUUUUAAAAUGUUUCUAAUUUGUAUGCAUUUGAUCAAAUUUUCAUUUGCAUUGAGCUAUUUUUUUUCUUUCUCAUGUAAUGUUUGACAUUACCAUUUCUUUCUUUAAUGAAAUACUAAUAUUUAAUAAAAUAUAUUACAUCC